RNAcentral lists this transfer RNA (53 nucleotides) under Centrorhynchus milvus. RNAcentral's name for it is "tRNA-Leu". The record is from RNAcentral. Lineage: Eukaryota; Metazoa; Acanthocephala; Palaeacanthocephala; Polymorphida; Centrorhynchidae.
GUCGAGGUGGCAGAGGGAUGUGUCAAAUUUAAGUUUUGGAGAGGGUAUCGGCU